GGGAGGUAGUGACAAUAAAUAACAAUACGGGGUCCUUUCGGGUUUCGUAAUUGGAAUGAGUACAAUUUAAAUCUCUUAACGAGGAACAAUUGGAGGGCAAGUCUGGUGCCAGCAGCCGCGGUAAUUCCAGCUCCAAUAGCGUAUAUUAAAGUUGUUGCAGUUAAAAAGCUCGUAGUUGAAUUUCGGGAUCAGUUCGCCGGUCGUGCCUUCGGUAUGUACUGGUGUUACUGGUUCCUACCUUCUGAUGAACCGUCAUGUCAUUAAUUUGGUGUGGCGGGGAAUCAGGACUGUUACUUUGAAAAAAUUAGAGUGUUUAAAGCAGGCUCGCGCUUGAAUACAUUAGCAUGGAAUAAUGAAAUAGGACGUUCGAUCCUAUUUUGUUGGUUUCUAGGAUUGACGUAAUGAUUAAUAGGGAUAGUUGGG
RNAcentral lists this ribosomal RNA (423 nucleotides) under Glomus sp. Its description in RNAcentral is "SSU rRNA". It matches the Rfam family "Eukaryotic small subunit ribosomal RNA", at positions 459 to 886 of the family's 1831-position model. Lineage: Eukaryota; Fungi; Glomeromycota; Glomeromycetes; Glomerales; Glomeraceae. The record is from RNAcentral.